CACACACACACACAGUGGGGCUCGAAAGUUUGGGCACCCCUUGCAGAAUCUGUGAAAAUGUGAGUAAUUUUCAAAAAAUAAGAGAGAUCAUACUAAAUGCAUGUUAUUUUUUAUUUAGUACUGUCCUGAGUAAGAUAUUGUACAUAAAAGAUGUUAACAUUUAGUCCACCAUACCAAAAAAUUAUGCAUUAAGAGCUGGGGGUGAAAACUUUUGGAAUUUGAAGAUCAAGGUAAAUUGUACUUAAUUUGUGUACCGGGAAACAUACAAGUAUCUUCUG
Long non-coding RNA from Carassius carassius (crucian carp), 278 nucleotides. RefSeq lists it as uncharacterized. The record is from RefSeq and is a predicted model, not a curated record. Lineage: Eukaryota; Metazoa; Chordata; Actinopteri; Cypriniformes; Cyprinidae. The transcript has 2 exons.